CAAUAGCGUAUAUUAAAGUUGUUGCAGUUAAAAAGCUCGUAGUUGGAUUUCUGGUGGGAGCGAUCGGUCUGGCGCUUAGCGCGAGUACUUGCAUCGUCUCCGGCCAUCCUUGGGGAAAGUCUGUCUGGCAUUAAGUUGUCGGGCAGAGGAUCCUCAUCGUUUACUGUGAAAAAAUUAGAGUGUUCAAAGCAGGCUUAUGCCGUUGAAUAUAUUAGCAUGGAAUAAUAAGAUAGGACUUUGGUACUAUUUUGUUGGUUUGCGCACCAAAGUAAUGAUUAAUAGGUACAGUUGGGGGUAUUCGUAUUCCGUUGUCAGAGGUGAAAUUCUUGGAUUUACGGAAGACGAACUACUGCGAAAGCAUUUACCAAGGAUGUUUUCAUUAA
This 383-nucleotide ribosomal RNA is filed under the name uncultured eukaryote. Its description in RNAcentral is "partial 18S ribosomal RNA". It matches the Rfam family "Eukaryotic small subunit ribosomal RNA", at positions 592 to 976 of the family's 1831-position model. The record is from RNAcentral.